Molecule: ribosomal RNA, 275 nt
Filed under: uncultured soil bacterium
Lineage: Bacteria
Description: partial 16S ribosomal RNA
Rfam family: Bacterial small subunit ribosomal RNA
Source: RNAcentral
AGAAUCAACGCUGGCGGCGUGCCUCAGACAUGCAAGUCGAACGCGAAAGUCCGCUUCGGGGGUGAGUAGAGUGGCGCACGGGUGAGUAACACGUAGGUAAUCUACCUUUGGAUGGGGAAUAACAACCGGAAACGGUUGCUAAUACCGCAUAAUGCAGCGGCACCUAAUGGUGACAGUUGUUAAAGCGGGGGAUCGAAAGACCUCGCGUCUAAAGAGGAGCCUGCGGCGGAUUAGCUAGUUGGUAGGGUAACGGCCUACCAAGGCUACGAUCCGUA